UAGCUUUUGACUUGGACAUAGAAGUUACCAAAUGUUUUGGUGAGUGUGGGAAGAAGAGGCAAUAUGAAUUACCAGUACUAUGAUCAUUCCAAGGCUUUGCGUAACCAAUAUAAGGUGGAUCAACCAAACAGUCAUAUGGAACCUGAAUACUAUUUCCAGGAGCCUUCAAACCAAGGCCGAAGGAAUCACUAAAUCGCACAGAGAAUUUG
This 209-nucleotide unclassified non-coding RNA is filed under the name Hevea brasiliensis (rubber tree). Lineage: Eukaryota; Viridiplantae; Streptophyta; Magnoliopsida; Malpighiales; Euphorbiaceae. The record is from RNAcentral.